Ictalurus punctatus (channel catfish) is the source of this 1524-nucleotide long non-coding RNA. The record is from Ensembl. Lineage: Eukaryota; Metazoa; Chordata; Actinopteri; Siluriformes; Ictaluridae.
CCCAACACUCAAGCCAUUCUGAUUUUGGAGAAUGUACUUUUCACCGAAAAUUUCAGUGUAUUUAUUUUCUCUUGAUGUAUGCAACUGUGCGGUGACCGCAUGUUGUGCAAGCAGGAGAGUUAUAUGAUGGCGUUGUGCUGCACUUAAUUUCUGCAUGCUAAUUAAUCCACCUAGUAUAAAUCAUCCUCGGCUGAUGUGUGUAGUGCAGCAGGUUGUGCUAAGAUCGGACUUGGUUACAGCAUCGAUGUGCAUCAUGCAGUGGUCAAAUGCCUUACAUUUAAACAUAAAAAAAAUGAACAAUUUUGUUUUGGAAACUCCACAGGAAAUAUUGUUUAUUUUCCGAAACUGUGUGUUCACCUGGCAACCACGACCAAAAAAAACAUAACAACCUGGACAUGAAAUCUGUUCGUCAAGAAUCCUCUUGAUUAGCAUAUAAUAAAUAUUAUGUACUAAUUAAAUGAGGCACACAGAUGACCACACACAUGAACACAGAGUGGGUGUGGUCUAAGAGACCUUGGAGCAGAAACUGAGGAAAAGCUAGCAGUUAGGAGUCUGUGAAAAAUACACAGAUAUCUGACAAACAGAGAAAGACUCCAACUCACUAAUGCUACUUUCUGACACUUAACUAUCGUUGCACAAAACACGAGUGCCCAUCUACAGCUAAUGCUCAGAAGUGAAGCGCAGUAUGAUGUUGGAGAAGGACUCAAAAAACACAGAAUGCUUUCGGAACGCUGAUGGAAAGGACUGUGGAGAUAACUAGAAAUUCAACAACGAUAACCAGCAGAGAAGCUAAAGUCCAGCCACAGCCACCUGCAGAGAUUAAGCUUAGAUCAACUUGAUCUACACAGGAUACAUUCGAAGAAAUAAGCUCAAAAACAAACACUAGAUUUGUCCAUUUCAGUCUCAGUGGGGAGGAUGAAAUAAUGGCUCAAAUGACUACCCGUGGUAUGAGUCAUCUGCAAAGCGCACUCUCUUUUGCUCUCUCUCUCUCUCUCUCUCUCUCUCGCUGUCUCACUUAUUGAGUGAAUGAUUUAGAUUUCUAGCAGGACUUUUGUUUUCAUCUCUAUUGCCCUCCGUCCUCUUGCAGUCCUUCGUCCAUGUUGAAGUAGGUCACAUUUCCCAUCAUAACAGGUCACAUCAGCCCUGCAUUAAACAAUUAUGGAAAUUCUUCUCCGAUUAUAGUGGACGUGUAGCGUACAUCUCUUCUAUGAGAUUUAUCUCAGGGUGUGCACAAUUCUGUGACCUUCCUCACGAUCAAUAAACAUGCAAUGGAAAUUGUCUGAUGAACUACAAUAGAUCCAGAUAGAGACAUUAAUGUUUUUUUGUUUGUUAGGUGUGCACAAUUCUGUGACCUUCCUCACGAUCAAUAAACAUGCAAUGGAAAUUGUCUGAUGAACUACAAUAGAUCCAGAUAGAGACAUUAAUGUUUUUUUGUUUGUUAGUUUUUUUUUUUUUUUUUAAUGGAUGGUUGCUGUAGAAAGUAUGGAAACUUCUGGCAGUACAUGCCAGACAUGCGUUUCAGUG